AAAACCACCACAUAUUACUGGUGUUGAUACAAAAUGUCAUAGAUUUGAAAAACCACUUAGCGCUUCCUCAAAAGUUUAAAGUUACCACAUAACACCACAGUUUUCCUCCCAGAUAGGUAAGAACAUCGUCCACAAGAUAAUUAAAAAUAUAAGUCUACACAAACACUUAUGUUCAGAUGUUCACAGCAUAAUUAUUCAAAACAUCCCCAAAGUGGAAACAAUCCAAACUUCCAUCAGUUGUCAACUGAUGAAUGGGUAAAUAAAAUCUGGAAUAUUUAUACAAUUAAAUAUUAUUAAGCCACAAACAGAAAUAAAAUGCCAACAUGUGCUCCAUCAUUGAUAACUUUGAAAUCACUGUGCUAACUGAAAGAAUCCAGACACAAAGAUGGUGUAUUGUACGAUUCCAUCUAUGAGAAAUGUCGAGAAUAGGAAAAUUCAUGGAGAAAGCAGAUUACGAGUUAACCAAGGACUGCAGGUGAGGCUUCUGGGGAGUGACACUAACGGUUCUCUGGGGGUGAAGAAGUUUUUUGAAUUGGCUACUAUGGUCAUACACCUUGCUGUGAGUAUACUAAACACCACUGAGCUGAACACUACAGGAAUGAAUUCUACGACAUAUGAAUUAUGUUUCCAUUUGAAAGUGGACCAGAAUGUGGCUUGUACAGUGAGGGUCUGGUAUUGGUCCUCGGGUCUUAGGGGUCACAGCUGAGUGGCAGAUUGGUGGUGACAGAAAACCUGCUCUUACCUCCCAUGAGUCUGGCCUUUCACAGUGUUAUUGGAGGAGGAACUCACAAAUGGGAAUUCAUAUGAUGCGAUCUGGCUUCUUUGACUUAGUAGAAUGUCUGCCAGCUCACUUGGGUUGGGUUGUGUAUCGGUACCUCAUUUCUUGUUACGGUUGAGUGAUGCCCCAUGGUAUGAAUAUGCAUGAUUUUUGCUUAUGCUUUCAGCAGUUGAUGGACGUUUGGGUUGUUUCCACUGGGGAAUGCUAUGAAUAAUCACGCUAUGAAUCAAUUGCUCUUGGGGAAGGCACUUUCCCCCAACCCAGCUCUGCUCUCUGUCUCACUGGGGAGGUUUCAGGAUGUGGAAAUCUGUGCGUUUUCCUGAGUGCCCACCUUUUUUCAUUUUUAUUAGCCCUUGUCUUUGUGCUUUGUUAAAUCUCGCCUUUUCCCCAGUUUGGCUUGUUCUUCUGUUCACAGAUUUGAUCCCGUGGCUCCAGCUGGACAGCAGCUUUCACCAAUGAAGACAAGAGGGCAAAGCUCAGUCAGCGAUGGCAACACUCAUCCCUUCACGACCUGUGGUGACUUUCCACGUUAUCCAUGCCAUGAAGGUUGUCACCCUUGGCUCCAGGUUCCAUCUCCAUCUCCCGUGGAGCUGCCCCAGGGACACUUGAGGCUUCAGCAGUGAGGUUCCAGAAGGAAUGAACAGCUACCCGACCCAGCAGAACCAGGAGAUAACAGUUCGGGAUCCUCUCUGAGACCUGCAGAAGAGAUGCAUCACCCAGCUUGACCCGUGAUGACAGCAGGAUAAGAGCUGUGCAAAAUGAAACCAGAGAGGCAGGCACAGCCUGGCUAAGGAAGGCAGGGAAGCCCUUAGUGGGCAGAGGGGCAGCCAAGGGUGUGUGUGGGACCAAGUUUAGGUGCCUGGGCUGGAGCCCCUUUCAAGGAGGACUUGAAGAUUUGUUUGGGGCGAUAGAGUUGAUAUGAAGCGUUUCCCACAUGUGGUCGUUCAUUUUGGGAAUUUAGAGGGGAGAACCUAAAGGAAAGUAGACAUCUAACCGGCAGAAGAGUUAAACAAAAGGAGGUAAAAGAAAGGAAUCAGCAUGGGAAAAAUAAUACAAUGACAGGAUUCAGUAAGUAUCUUACAAUAACUCUCAACGUUUUUGGUCUUAACUCCCCAUUCAGAAGGCAGAUUGGCAGAUCAGAUCUAAAAAACCCAACCUUAUAUUGCUUUCGGAGGCACACCUCCUCUAAAAGGAAGUAUAAGCACUGAAAGUGACAGGAUGAAAAACAAUUCUCCAUGCCACUGGAGCACGGCAUACCAAAAUCUGCAGGACACGUUUAAUGCACACCUUAAAAGAAUUGAGUGAUCUCAAAUUGCUAAUGUAAUCAUGCAUCUAAAGGUUUUAGAAAAACAAGUACCAUCUAAAUCUGAAACUAGCAGAAGGCCAAAAAGUAUAACAACUCGGGUAGAAAUUAAUGAAAUAGAGACCAAAAGAAAAAAAUGAGUGAAUCCAUGAGUUGGUUCUUUGAAAGAAUAAACAAAUAUGAUAAAUCCUUAGCUAAACUUACCAAAAGGAGGGAGAAAACCCUGCAUAAAUGCAAUUAGAAGUGACAGAGGUGAAAUCACAACAGACAUAGCUGAAACCUAGACACUUAUAAGAAAUUAUUUUUGUAAACUUAUAUUCUAGUCAAUUACAGAACCUGGAAGAAAUAGAGAAAUUAUUAGAUACAUAUGAAUUACCCAGAUUAUCCAAGGAGAUAUCAAAAUGCUGAAUAGACCAAUAAUAGGGAAUGAAAUAGAGGCAGUAAUUAAAAAUAACCUGCUAAGAAAAAGCCAGGGCCUGAUGGACUCAUUGCAGAAUUUUACCAGAACUAAAUAUUCCUCAAACUUUUCCAUGAAAUCGAAAGGAAAGAAUCACUGCCAAACUGAUUCCUGGAAGCCAGCAUUACCUUGGCACCAAAACCAGACAAGAAGUUAAGGGAAAAAGGGAAGUGCAGGCCAAUGUCCUUAGUGAAAACAUAGAUGCAAAACUCCUCAACAAGGUCCUGGCAAACAAUGCAGUAAGUUAUUCAAAAGAUCAUACAGCAUGACCGAGUUGGUUUUAUCUGAGGGAUGCAAAGAUGGCCUAAUAUAUGGAAAUCAGAGAAUGUAAUAUAUCACAUAAACAGAAGCAAGGAGAGAAAUCACGUGAUCAUCUCAAGUGACGCAGAGAAGACCUUGGACAAAAUCUAAUGUCCAUUCAUGAUUUUUAAAAAGCUUGAUGAAAAUAGGUGUAUCUCAAAAUGAUAAAAGCCCUUUAUGACAAACCCCCUGCCAAUAUCACACUAAAAGGAGGACGGUUGAAAACAUUUCCUGUAAAAUCAGGAACAAGACAAGUGUGUUCCCUUUCACCACCCCUGCUCAAUAUAGUUCUCAAAAGUUUAUCCAGAGCAAUCAGGGAAGAGGAAAACAAAAGAGAUAUAUGUACAGGAAAGGAAAAAACUCU
Cavia porcellus (domestic guinea pig) is the source of this 3202-nucleotide long non-coding RNA. RefSeq lists it as uncharacterized. The record is from RefSeq and is a predicted model, not a curated record. NCBI's taxonomy places the organism in Eukaryota, Metazoa, Chordata, Mammalia, Rodentia, Caviidae. The transcript has 3 exons.